Elaeis guineensis (African oil palm) is the source of this 1402-nucleotide non-coding RNA. Lineage: Eukaryota; Viridiplantae; Streptophyta; Magnoliopsida; Arecales; Arecaceae. The record is from RefSeq and is a predicted model, not a curated record.
CCCUCGUACCCAACCGCCUCAAGCAUUCCUUCUCUGCCCGCAGCGGCGGCUGUCCUUCCAUCCUCACGCCACCACCAAAUCGUUCCCUCGAGGCAGUUUCAGGAUAUAAUUGGCACUUGACUCAAAUACAAAAUGAGAUUAGAGAAGUGUUGGUUCUGUUCCUCAACCAUCUAUCCAGGGCAUGGUAUUCAGUUUGUCCGCAAUGAUGCAAAGAUCUUCCGGUUUUGCCGCUCCAAAUGCCAUAAGAACUUUAAAAUGAAGAGAAAUCCUCGCAAGGUGAAAUGGACAAAAGCAUACAGGCGAUUGCAUGGGAAGGAUAUGACACAGGAUUCGACCUUUGAGCUUGAGAGGAAGCGCAACAGACCUGAGAGAUAUGAUAGGAAUGUUGCAGAGAACACACUAAAGGCCAUUAAGAAGAUUGACAAAAUCAGAGUGGCUAGAGAGGCCAGACACCAUUCUAUGAGGAUGAAAGGCAAGAAAGCCAUUGAGCAGCAGGCAGCAGCUAAGGAGUUGGAGCAGAGUAUUCAUUUGGUCAAGGCACCUGCUGCCCUCCAAGAGGAUCCAUCCCUUACUCUACCAAAGAUAAGAGUAACGGUUUCUCGGUCACAAACAGAGGACUGCAUGGAAGAAUAAUGAUAACGCAGGCAAUCCUCUCACAUGGUGGCAUAGAAAACUCAAUUCAACACUUUCUUAUGCUAGUUUAUGCAACUAAAUUUUGGAUUAUCAUUGGACUAAGGGUUGCCAGCUUGCUGCCGGAAUUUUGAUGUGGCUGCUGUCAUGAUUUUUGUAAUACUGAUAUGCAAGAGUAGCAGCCACAAUCCAAACCCUUUUCCACCGAGUUUGAAAGAAUCAAUUUCUGAAAUGGCUGUCACUAGUUUCGUUGUCUAAUGACAUGAUGGGUUAGAACAGAUACACAAGUGGUUAUGUUUUGGACAGUGAUAGUAAUUCCCUUGAGUAUGCUUUUUAUCUUGGCAGCUAGACAGGUCUUGAAGUUGUUUUGCACACUAUCUAAAGGACUAGGCUUUCAUUUUUCCAUUUUUUAAUCUUGGUAUAGGUUGAAGCCCUCAGACUUUCCAUGGCAAUGCCUAGAUACUUCUUUAAAAAAAUGUGUUAAAUUAGUUGAACAAAAACAGAAUAGUAGGUAAAAUUUUUCUCCAGUUUUUGGUAGCUCCAACAUGCAGUCUGGGAUUCAAAAUUUUAAAAGCCAGCAGUGUUAUUAGAAGCUGGGUUGUGUUGUGCAUAUGUGAGCAUUGAAUGAAGCCAACUAUUGCUAUGAAGCUUCGAAUGAUGCAGUCUACUUGAAUCUAGUUAAUACACCAUCUUAUUGUUUCUUGUAUCAAUAAAUAUUCUUCAUUGUUUGCCAUCAAUCAAAUGUGGCGGCUUGUACCGCAUGCUACGGCAA